UACGGGGGGGGCAAGCGUUGUUCGGAAUUACUGGGCGUAAAGGGCUCGUAGGCGGCCAACUAAGUCAGACGUGAAAUCCCUCGGCUUAACCGGGGAACUGCGUCUGAUACUGGAUGGCUUGAGUCCGGGAGAGGGAUGCGGAAUUCCAGGUGUAGCGGUGAAAUGCGUAGAUAUCGGGAGGAACACCUGUGGCGAAGGCGGCCGCCUGGUUGGAUACUGACGCUGAGACGCGAAAGCGUGGGGAGCAAACAGG
This 253-nucleotide ribosomal RNA is filed under the name uncultured bacterium. Its description in RNAcentral is "partial 16S ribosomal RNA". It matches the Rfam family "Bacterial small subunit ribosomal RNA", at positions 524 to 776 of the family's 1533-position model. The record is from RNAcentral.